ACGUAGGUGGCAAGCGUUGUCCGGAAUUAUUGGGCGUAAAGGGUGCGCAGGCGGUCUCUUAAGUCUGUCUUAAAAGUGCGGGGCUUAACCCCGUGAGGGGACGGAAACUGGGAGACUGGAGUAUCGGAGAGGAAAGCAGAAUUCCUAGUGUAGCGGUGAAAUGCGUAGAUAUUAGGAGGAAUACCAGUGGCGAAAGCGGCUUUCUGGACGAUAACUGACGCUGAGGCACGAAAGCCAGGGGAGCGAACGG
This 250-nucleotide ribosomal RNA is filed under the name uncultured bacterium. Its description in RNAcentral is "partial 16S ribosomal RNA". It matches the Rfam family "Bacterial small subunit ribosomal RNA", at positions 525 to 775 of the family's 1533-position model. The record is from RNAcentral.